ACGGAAGAAAGAAAAGAUAUGAAAGAUGUUGUGGUUGAGCUGAAGAAAAUCAAACAAAGGUUGCUAAACAACAUCCAACAUUUUUAACAGAGAUGUGGUUGUUGAUCAAGGAACACUAAAGGAGGCCAAUAAGAAGAACGAAACUCCACAUCUUUACUAUCAUGUUCUACAAAACAAAGAGACUUUUUUCUCGAUGAAAUUUGUAUUGGGCUAUCAAUGUUUCAUGGAUUAUGUUGUUUUUCUAAUGUAAGAGGGGGUUUUGCCAAUAUUGCAUGCAAAAUCAAAGUAAUAUUUGUCAAUGCUUAGCUUAAUCAACUCUAAUGUUACUGUGGAUUUGAUUUGUCUUUACAGUAUUUACAGAUUAUUUUGUGAAUGUCAAAUUGCCUUUGGGCCUUUCAAAGAAA
This is a long non-coding RNA of Gossypium raimondii (Peruvian cotton), 404 nucleotides long. RefSeq lists it as uncharacterized. Lineage: Eukaryota; Viridiplantae; Streptophyta; Magnoliopsida; Malvales; Malvaceae. The transcript is spliced from 2 exons. The record is from RefSeq and is a predicted model, not a curated record.